RNAcentral lists this ribosomal RNA (1131 nucleotides) under uncultured Phaeobacter sp. RNAcentral's name for it is "bacterial SSU rRNA". It matches the Rfam family "Bacterial small subunit ribosomal RNA", at positions 312 to 1503 of the family's 1533-position model. The record is from RNAcentral. Lineage: Bacteria; Pseudomonadati; Pseudomonadota; Alphaproteobacteria; Rhodobacterales; Roseobacteraceae.
CUUGGAUUGAAACACGCCUACUUUCCUUGGGAGGAGCAAUUGGGAUUUUUGCCAAUGGGCCAACCCUAAUCAAGCAUGCGGUGGAGUGAUGAAGGCCUUAGGUCGAAAAGCUCUUUCCCCAGAGAUGUAAUGCCAGUAUCUGGUAAAGAACCCCUGCUUACUACAUACCAGAAUCUCGGUAAUCCGAGGGGGUUAGCGUUGUCAGAAUUCUGGGCGUAAAGCGAAUGUAGCGGAUCAGAAAGUAUGAGGUGAAUCCCGGGGAUCACCUCCGGAACUGCUUUUUAAACUCCUGGUCUUGAGUUCGAGAGAUGUGACUGGAAUUCCGAGUGUAGAGGUGAAAUUCGUAGAUAUUCGGAGGAACACCAGUGGCGAAGGCGGCUCCCUGGCUUGAUACUGACGCUGAGGUGCGAAAGUGUGGGGAGCAAACAUGAUUAGAUACCCUGGUAGUCCACUCCGUAAACGAUGAAUUCCAGACGUCAGCAAGCAUGCUUGUUGGUGUCACAACUAACGGAUUAAGUAUUCCGCCUGGGGAGUACGGUCGCAAGAUUAAAACUCAAAGGAAUUGACGGGGGUUCGCACAAGCGGUUGAGCAUGUGGUUUAAUUCGAAGCAACGCGCAGAUUCUUAACAACCCUUGACAUCCUCGGACCGCCAGAGAGAUCUGGUUUUCUCGCAAGAGACCGAGUGACAGGUGCUGCAUGGCUGUCGUCAGCUCCUAUCGUGAGGUGUUCGGUUAAGUCCGGCAUCGAGCGCGAGCCACAUCCUUAGUUGGCAGCAGUUCAGCUGGGAACUUUAGGGAAACCUGCCUUGAUUAGCAGUAUGAACGUUUUGACGGUGUCAAGUGUCUCAUAGCCCCUUCGGGUUGGGCCAAACGCUUGUUACAAUGGUAUCAUCAAUGGGCUAAACCCUAAACGAUGUCUCAGUUCGGAUUGGGGUCUGCAAAUUGUCCCCAUGAAGUGGGAAAUGCUGGUAAUCGCGUAACAGCAAGUCGCGGUGAAUUAGUUACCGGGCCUUGUACACGCCGCCCGUCACCCCAUGGGAGUUGGAUCUAACGCGAAGGCCGUGCGCUAACUUUUGAGGCAGCGGGCCCGGUGGGUUUAGGGCUGGGGUGAAAUCGUAAAAAGGUAAUCAA